RNAcentral lists this long non-coding RNA (251 nucleotides) under Carica papaya (papaya). RNAcentral's name for it is "long non-coding RNA (CPAP_LNC001723)". Lineage: Eukaryota; Viridiplantae; Streptophyta; Magnoliopsida; Brassicales; Caricaceae. The record is from RNAcentral.
GACAAAUCCGAUUCUAUUGAAUCUAAGGGUAACCCUAAACCACCUACUGCUACUCAAAGACCAAUUUCUAUUAAGUGUUUUAGGUGUCUUAGAGUUGGACACAUCAUGUCACAAUGUCCCAACAAAAUUAUCAUAUUAUUACGAGAUGAUGGCGAGAUAAAGACUAUAAGUGAGUACAGGAGUGAUGAUGAUAGUAGAACAUUACUAGAUGAUUGUGAAGACGAUUUAGUAGCCCCAGUUUAAGGUGAGAU